CCCUUAGAUGUCCUGGGCCGCACGCGUGCUACACUGAUACGUACAAAGAGUACUUCUGCUCCGAAAGGCAGCGGAUAAUCUGCAAUACGUAUCGUGAUGGGGAUAGAUCCUUGUAAUUAUGGAUCUUGAACGAGGAAUUCCUAGUAAGUGCAAGUCAUUAGCUUGCGCUGAUUAAGUCCCUGCCCUUUGUACACACCGCCCGUCGCUUCUACCGAUUGAGUGGUCCGGUGAGCCUUUUGGAUCGCCAGCAAUGGCGAGAAAUCAAGCAAACCUUAUCACUUAGAGGAAGAACAAGUCGUAACA
This 303-nucleotide ribosomal RNA is filed under the name uncultured eukaryote. Its description in RNAcentral is "partial 18S ribosomal RNA". It matches the Rfam family "Eukaryotic small subunit ribosomal RNA", at positions 1470 to 1796 of the family's 1831-position model. The record is from RNAcentral.